Molecule: ribosomal RNA, 468 nt
Filed under: uncultured bacterium
Lineage: Bacteria
Description: partial 16S ribosomal RNA
Rfam family: Bacterial small subunit ribosomal RNA
Source: RNAcentral
GACGAACGCUGGCGGCGUGCUUAACACAUGCAAGUCGAACGGAAAGGCCCUGCUUUUGUGGGGUGCUCGAGUGGCGAACGGGUGAGUAACACGUGAGUAACCUGCCCUUGACUUUGGGAUAACUUCAGGAAACUGGGGCUAAUACCGGAUAGGAGCUCCUGCUGCAUGGUGGGGGUUGGAAAGUUUCGGCGGUUGGGGAUGGACUCGCGGCUUAUCAGCUUGUUGGUGGGGUAGUGGCUUACCAAGGCUUUGACGGGUAGCCGGCCUGAGAGGGUGAACGGCCACAAUGGGACUGAGAUACGGCGCAGACUCCUACGGGAGGCAGCAGUGGGGAAUAUUGCACAAUGGGCGGAAGCCUGAUGCAGCAACGCCGCGUGCGGGAUGACGGCCUUCGGGUUGUAAACCGCUUUCGCCUGUGACGAAGCGUGAGUGACGGUAAUGGGUAAAGAAGCACCGGCUAACUACGUG